UACGAGGGGUGCAAGCGUUAUUCGGAAUUAUUGGGCGUAAAGGGUGUGUAGACGGUAUAUUAAGUCUGUUGUUUAAUUCUCCAGCCUAACUGGAGGCCUGCAACGGAAACUGAUAAACUAGAGGGUGAGAGAGAGAAGUGGAAUUCCCGGAGUAGCGGUAAAAUGCGUAGAUCUCGGGAGGAACACCAAUUGCGAAGGCAGCUUCUUGGCUCAUUUCUGACGUUGAGACACGAAAGCGUGGGGAGCAAACAGG
Molecule: ribosomal RNA, 253 nt
Filed under: uncultured bacterium
Lineage: Bacteria
Description: partial 16S ribosomal RNA
Rfam family: Bacterial small subunit ribosomal RNA
Source: RNAcentral